CCUACGGGGGGCAGCAGUGAGGAAUAUUGGUCAAUGGACGAGAGUCUGAACCAGCCAAGUAGCGUGAAGGAUGACUGCCCUAUGGGUUGUAAACUUCUUUUAUAUGGGAAUAAAAUGUUCCACGUGUGGGAUUUUGUAUGUACCAUAUGAAUAAGGAUCGGCUAACUCCGUGCCAGCAGCCGCGGUAAUACGGAGGAUCCGAGCGUUAUCCGGAUUUAUUGGGUUUAAAGGGAGCGUAGGUGGAUUGUUAAGUCAGUUGUGAAAGUUUGCGGCUGAACCGUAAAAUUGCAGUUGAAACUGGCAGUCUUGAGUACAGUAGAGGUGGGCGGAAUUCGUGGUGUAGCGGUGAAAUGCUUAGAUAUCACGAAGAACUCCGAUUGCGAAGGCAGUUCACUGGACUGCAACUGACACUGAGGCUCGAAAGUGUGGGUAUCAAACAGGAUUAGAUACCCCAGUAGUC
This 460-nucleotide ribosomal RNA is filed under the name uncultured bacterium. RNAcentral's name for it is "partial 16S ribosomal RNA". It matches the Rfam family "Bacterial small subunit ribosomal RNA", at positions 338 to 795 of the family's 1533-position model. The record is from RNAcentral.